CAGUCGCCACGGUAAAACGAAGGGUGCAAGCGUUACUCGGAAUUACUGGGCGUAAAGCGUGCGUAGGUGGUGGUUUAAGUCCGUUGUGAAAGCCCUGGGCUCAACCUGGGAAUUGCAGUGGAUACUGGGUCACUAGAGUGUGGUAGAGGAUAGUGGAAUUUCCGGUGUAGCAGUGAAAUGCGUAGAGAUCGGAAGGAACAUCUGUGGCGAAGGCGACUAUCUGGGCCAACACUGACACUGAGGCACGAAAGCGUGGGGAGCAAACAGGAUUAGAUACCCGCGUAGUCCCUGUCUCUUAUAC
This 301-nucleotide ribosomal RNA is filed under the name uncultured bacterium. Its description in RNAcentral is "partial 16S ribosomal RNA". It matches the Rfam family "Bacterial small subunit ribosomal RNA", at positions 509 to 807 of the family's 1533-position model. The record is from RNAcentral.